RNAcentral lists this ribosomal RNA (640 nucleotides) under Guibemantis bicalcaratus. RNAcentral's name for it is "partial 16S ribosomal RNA". Lineage: Eukaryota; Metazoa; Chordata; Amphibia; Anura; Mantellidae. The record is from RNAcentral.
GAGYCCCUUCUUUWUCUUUUGAUCUUUCCAUAAAUGCUCUGGUGUAAGUUUAACGUUAAAAUAUUUAAGGUUUUCUUGUGAGGUUAAUAAAGUGGACUCAUAAACGUUAAAUGCCAAUAGUUUGUCUAAAGUGGCUUAAGCCUACAUUUUUGGAGAAGUUCUGCUUCUUGUUACUAGUUCUAGCAUUAUAUCUUCCAUAUUCUUAUGGAGUUACUCAAUAUUAAUAAUGGGUUGUAUGUUAAUAAGGUUAUUUUAUAAGAAUAAAAGUAAAGCUUUAACGCUUUUUUAAAGGUGGCUGCUUUUAGGCCCACUUAAUAAUUUUUCUUGAUAAAUUACCCAAUAUAGGAGGUUGUACCCUUUUUCAAAUAAGCUGUGCCUUAUUUGAAUGGCUCUUAAGUUUAGUUGGAGUUUACGGAGACUAAAAAACUUGAGGUAGAACUAAAAUUCUUUUCUUGAGCAACCAGCUAUCUCUUGGUGCGGUAGGUUUAUCGCCACUACUUGGAAAUUUUCCCACUCUUUUGCAACAGAGAUGGGUUGGUUCUUAUAACUAUUUCGAAGUAGCUCACCUAGUUUCGGGGGGUUAAACUAAAAAUCAUUUUGCUCAGUCAGACUGACUAGACCAUGAUGCAAAAGGGUCGAG